This 71-nucleotide microRNA precursor is filed under the name Danio rerio (zebrafish). RNAcentral describes it as "miRNA (ENSDARG00000106947.2)". The record is from RNAcentral. Lineage: Eukaryota; Metazoa; Chordata; Actinopteri; Cypriniformes; Danionidae.
GUGCAGGACUCCGCGGCUCUCGCAGUGUUUCAGAGCCGCGAUCAGCUGCACCAGCACUUUCUUGGCCAGAC